RNAcentral lists this long non-coding RNA (209 nucleotides) under Carica papaya (papaya). RNAcentral describes it as "long non-coding RNA (CPAP_LNC012800)". Lineage: Eukaryota; Viridiplantae; Streptophyta; Magnoliopsida; Brassicales; Caricaceae. The record is from RNAcentral.
UUGUGAUGGAUUUGUGCAUCAGCAUCAAGAGGAGCCUCAUCUGUUGAUGACACUGAUUCAGAUACACAUCGAGAUUUCUCACCAGCAGUACUAGAAUUCCCAUUCCCUUUUACCUCAUGAACUGAAUCAUGCAGAAAACAAUCCUGGUGUGGUUUUGGUUUCAUAUCAAAGUUUCUUGAACACGGACUUCUGAAUCUCCUAGGUUUUCU